This 410-nucleotide ribosomal RNA is filed under the name uncultured bacterium. RNAcentral describes it as "bacterial SSU rRNA". It matches the Rfam family "Bacterial small subunit ribosomal RNA", at positions 370 to 772 of the family's 1533-position model. The record is from RNAcentral.
AAUGGGCGCAAGCCUGAUCCAGCCAUGCCGCGUGAGUGAAGAAGGCCUUCGGGUUGUAAAGCUCUUUCAGACGGAAAGAAAUCGGUGCGUUUAAUACAUGCACUGGAUGACGGUACCGUAAGAAGAAGCACCGGCUAACUACGUGCCAGCAGCCGCGGUAAUACGUAGGGUGCGAGCGUUAAUCGGAAUUACUGGGCGUAAAGCGUGCGCAGGCGGUUAUGUAAGACAGAUGUGAAAUCCCCGGGCUCAACCUGGGAACUGCGUUUGUGACUGCAUAACUAGAGUACGGCAGAGGGAGGUGGAAUUCCACGUGUAGCAGUGAAAUGCGUAGAGAUGUGGAGGAACACCGAUGGCGAAGGCAGCCUCCUGGGCCAGUACUGACGCUCAUGCACGAAAGCGUGGGGAGCAAA